AUACGGGGGGUGCAAGCGUUACUCGGAAUCACUGGGCGUAAAGAGCAUGUAGGCGGAUUAAUAAGUUUGAAGUGAAAUCCUAUAGCUUAACUAUAGAACUGCUUUGAAAACUGUUAGUCUAGAAUGUGGGAGAGGUAGAUGGAAUUUCUGGUGUAGGGGUAAAAUACCGUAGAGAUCAGAAGGAAUACCGAUUGCGAAGGCGAUCUACUGGAACAUUAUUGACGCUGAGAUGCGAAAGCGUGGGGAGGC
This 249-nucleotide ribosomal RNA is filed under the name uncultured bacterium. RNAcentral describes it as "partial 16S ribosomal RNA". It matches the Rfam family "Bacterial small subunit ribosomal RNA", at positions 523 to 770 of the family's 1533-position model. The record is from RNAcentral.